ACGGCCCACCAAGGCGACGAUGCGUAGGGGUUCUGAGAGGAAGGUCCCCCACACUGGUACUGAGACACGGACCAGACUCCUACGGGAGGCAGCAGUGAGGAAUAUUGGUCAAUGGGCGAGAGCCUGAACCAGCCAAGUCGCGUGAGGGAGUACUGCCCUAUGGGUUGUAAACCUCUUUUGUCGGGGAGCAAAAGCCGGACGUGUCCGGCUGUGAGAGUACCCGAAGAAAAAGCAUCGGCUAACUCCGUGCCAGCAGCCGCGGUAAUACGGAGGAUGCGAGCGUUAUCCGGAUUUAUUGGGUUUAAAGGGUGCGCAGGCGGAUUUUUAAGUCAGCGGUCAAAUCGUGGGGCUCAACCCCAUCCAGCCGUUGAAACUGGGGAUCUAGAGUGUGCGAGAGGUAUGCGGAAUGCGUGGUGUAGCGGUGAAAUGCAUAGAUAUCACGCAGAACCCCGAUUGCGAAGGCAGCAUACCGGUGCACAACUGACGCUCAGGCACGAAAGCGUGGGUAUCGAACAGGAUUAGAUACCCUGGUAGUCCACGCAGUA
Molecule: ribosomal RNA, 545 nt
Filed under: uncultured bacterium
Lineage: Bacteria
Description: bacterial SSU rRNA
Rfam family: Bacterial small subunit ribosomal RNA
Source: RNAcentral